RNAcentral lists this non-coding RNA (205 nucleotides) under Bacillota bacterium. Lineage: Bacteria; Bacillati; Bacillota. The record is from RNAcentral.
AUCAAAAAAAGACGCCUGAGUGCUCCGUAGACAGGUAAAAACGCUUCGGAGAGAAUAGGAAAUCCGGGGAAGAUCCGGAACGGUACCGCCACUGUAAGUGCGGAAGCUACGCCGGGGCGAAAGCCGGUCAUUGGGGAGACCCGAGAAGGCUGCGCGGAGCUGAGGAUGCACAAGUCAGGAGACCUGCUCAGAGAUGCGUCGCUUC